Molecule: long non-coding RNA, 1085 nt
Filed under: Olea europaea subsp. europaea
Lineage: Eukaryota; Viridiplantae; Streptophyta; Magnoliopsida; Lamiales; Oleaceae
Source: RNAcentral
UCAUCUGGGCCUUUAUUUCUUUCCCCCUGGCACUUCUUGGUACGGUUGUUGGAAGAAACUGGAGUGGUGCUCCAAACAAUCCAUGCCGAGUGAAGACCAUUCCACGACCAAUUCCUGAGAAGAAGUGGUACUUGACACCAUCUGUAGUUUCUGUGAUGGGAGGAUUGCUUCCCUUUGGCAGCAUAUUCAUUGAAAUGUACUUUGUUUUCACUUCCUUCUGGAAUUACAAGGUAAUAUAGUUGACCUAUCGUGCUAAUUUUUUUCUUAAUCAUUAAUGUGUCUAUAUUUUUUUUGUUAUCUGAAAUUUGAAGUAUCUUAUGCAGACUUAAAAGAAAACUAUAUUAGUGGUUAAUUUUUCUAUCUUUAAAUCGAACAUGACAUGUUAUAAAUUUCUAGAUUGAUAUAAUCUAAUGCCAGGGAAUUAGGGCUAUUUAGAGAUAUAUGUUUUGGGAUUGGGUUAAAUUCCCCGUAAAGCUAGGUUCAAGCAAAUGUAAGUGGCUGUGGCUUUGUGUAGCAGAUUGUUUGUGGGUUGAACCUCGAGUAUUCUUAGUAUGCAAAUUCUGCUAAAAGCUUAAAACAGACAUAUGCAAUUAGUGACUAUCUACACAUUUCUGCUGACAAAAUUUUGUCCCAUUUGGUUUAGCCGAAAAUUAUUUUUAGUAGAUUUUGAUGAAACUUGAUGAAAUGUUCGGUUGAAAAGUUGAUAAAAGUUGUGUGUCCCAUGAAAUGUGUGGUUGAAAAUGCGUUUGAGGAAAAUUGAGUUUUAGAAAAUGGGGGCCAAAUAGCGGCUUGGUCUGCUGAUGCACCAGUCUGAUUCUCAUUUUCUGCUCUAUUGAAUGCCUUGGUCUUGGGAGUGUGAGAUGAGGAGGCAAGGAGCAGUGAAGGUUUUGAACAAACUAUUUAUCUUCGAUGAGUUGUAUUCUAGAUGAAGGGGAGUCCCUGGAGUACCCUUUUAUGCUGUUAAAGAUAAAUUUGUUUGCUUAUUUUUUGUUUGGCAUAUGCAUCUCUCCAACUUAUUUGUGCCCCUCUCGUCUCCCUUUUCGAUUAUUAUCCAAGCAUAAGACCCAUUUUUUAUAGGUCUGAAC